UACGUAGGGUGCGAGCGUUGUCCGGAAUUAUUGGGCGUAAAGAGCUCGUAGGCGGUGUGUCACGUCGGCCGUGAAAACCUGCAGCUUAACUGUGGGCGUGCGGUCGAUACGGGCAUCACUGGAGUUCGGCAGGGGAGACUGGAAUUCCUGGUGUAGCGGUGAAAUGCGCAGAUAUCAGGAGGAACACCGGUGGCGAAGGCGGUGAUCUGGGCCGACACUGACGCUGUAGAGCGAAAGCGUGGGGAGCGAACAGG
This 254-nucleotide ribosomal RNA is filed under the name uncultured bacterium. RNAcentral describes it as "partial 16S ribosomal RNA". It matches the Rfam family "Bacterial small subunit ribosomal RNA", at positions 524 to 776 of the family's 1533-position model. The record is from RNAcentral.